GUGGAGUGCUGGUUGUCAUUAGCAUUAUUGUAGUCCUGGUUCUCAUCGCCAGUGGUGUUGGAUUUCUUCUCUGCAAUAACAACUCUGGAGAGGAGGAGGGAGAUGGAGUGUAGUGAAUAAGGGCGAGCGUGUAUACACACACACACACACACACACACACACGGAUGGAGGAGCUUUUUUAUUGUGAAUCUGUUACUGCCAGGUUUUGGAGUAACACUUCUCAGUGAUGGUGCUUUUAUAUAGCAAGAAAAGCAGCCAGUCUUUAUGUCUUUAAGGGAGUUAGAUGAAGAUUUAUUCCUUCAAUGGAAAGCAGGACAGUCUUUCUAUUUUGUGGUCAUAUGUUUUGUUUUGUACAAAGAAAUGCACUAAUGUAUUCCAUGAAGUUUCUAAAGUAUUUAUCUUAUCUGAAGUUGUUCAAGCUGCUAAUGAAUAUGAACAAACUCACUUGUUUUGACCUCCUCGAUCUGUUUGGGAAAUAUCCAAAAGCUGAGCUGAAAAAGUGCAAUAUUGUUCGGAUGGUCUUUUGGCUGCUACUUGAAAAUGAGGAGUUUAAGUGUGUCCUGAGUCUGGAUCAUUUGGUGCAUAUGUAUAUCUGUAGCUUGCAUUUGUUAAACUAGUGUUUAUCAUGGAAACAUUUUUUUUCUUAUUUAUUAUUUCUUCACAUGUCUUCUGACCUCCAGUAACGUUCCCCCCUUAUUGCUAACUAUUGAUUCUAGCUUCUUUUUUUCUUUUUUUUCUAUAAAAGUGUUGGUGAAGCUAAAUUAUUGUAUUUUUAUACUUUUAUAGUCCUACAUGCACACAAAUCAGCCUUAACAUUAAAACUACCUAGCUAAUAUUGUGUAGAUCUGCCUUGUGCAGCCAAAACUGCUGUGACUGUCGAGGCAUAGACUCCACAAGGGUUCUGAAGGUGUGAGCUCUGAACCAAGACGGUAGCUGCAGAUCCUUUAUGUCCUGUAAGUUGUGAGGUGGGGCCUCCAUGGAUCGGACUCGUUUGUUCAGAACAUCCCACAGUCGCUCGAUCGGAUUGAGAUCUGGGGAAUUUGGAGGCCAAAUCAACACCUUGAACUCUUUGUGUUCCUCAAACCGUUCCUGAGCAGUUUUUGCAGUGUGUCCAGGAGCAUUAUCCUACUGAAAUAGGACGCUGACAUCACCAUGAAGUUUACAAUGUUUAUGUAGGAGGUACGUGUCACAGUAACUUCCACAUGAAUGCCAGGAUCGUGUGCAGGGGUCAGCGUGGGCACUCUGACCAGUCUGUGCUACCCAUGUCCUUACACAGCAAACUGUGAUCUGUGUUCUGACUCCUUUCUGUCAGAGCCAGCAUUAACCUUUUCAGCUAUUUGUACUACAGUAGCUCUUCCGUGGGAUCCAACCAGCCGGAUUAGCCUUUUCUCCCCACGCACAUCACUGAGCCUUGGGCGUCCAUGACUCUCACCGUUUGUCUCACAACGUUACUUCUGUGUUAUUUUGAUUGUAUUUCAGGAGCCAGCUUUGCAUUUCAAAAAACAAUUUCUUC
Long non-coding RNA from Ictalurus punctatus (channel catfish), 1513 nucleotides. The record is from Ensembl. Lineage: Eukaryota; Metazoa; Chordata; Actinopteri; Siluriformes; Ictaluridae.